Molecule: long non-coding RNA, 347 nt
Filed under: Salvia miltiorrhiza (redroot sage)
Lineage: Eukaryota; Viridiplantae; Streptophyta; Magnoliopsida; Lamiales; Lamiaceae
Description: long non-coding RNA (SMIL_LNC010013)
Source: RNAcentral
AAAAAAUAAUGAAAGAAGAAUUCAUCUCGAGAGCCUAUUCUAGGGGUGCCAAGGGCUAAUCGGAACCGGCGGACCGGACUGUUGACCACCGGGCCGGUUCAGGGCCGAAUCGCCGGUAGUUAAGGGCCGGUUAAGGUUCAAGAGGUUCUCGGCCCGCGGCCUGCCGGUUCGGCCCUGAACCGCCGGGCCCGGCGUGGCAGGCGAGACAACAGGAGGUUAGGGGGGCAGGGGGGCGCAGGCAGGCAGAGGCGGAUCUACUUGGGGCGGUGGGGGUACAGCUGUACCCCCAAUUUUUUUUUUAAUAGUAGUAUUAUAUACUCCCUCCGCCAAAAUUAUGUAAAAUUGCU